CUCCCUUCUCCGACCUUUCACAAUCAAUCCACGGGACACACUACCGGACCUCAGCUGAGCAGAGAGCUUCCUUUCUUUUUCUUAGCAAAUCUUCAACAGCUCUACUUGAACUCAACCCAGCUGUGAACUGUCUCUUCAUCUUCCGCUUUUCUCCUUUUCUUUAUGUCCUCGUCUCAUCACAAACCAUGCCUGCUCACAAACCCCACCUCCUCCUCCUUAUUCUUCCGAU
This 229-nucleotide unclassified non-coding RNA is filed under the name Hevea brasiliensis (rubber tree). Lineage: Eukaryota; Viridiplantae; Streptophyta; Magnoliopsida; Malpighiales; Euphorbiaceae. The record is from RNAcentral.